This 866-nucleotide ribosomal RNA is filed under the name Odorrana lungshengensis (Lungshen odorous frog). RNAcentral's name for it is "partial 16S ribosomal RNA". The stretch from base 170 to 643 matches the Rfam family "Bacterial large subunit ribosomal RNA", at positions 573 to 1301 of the family's 2925-position model. Lineage: Eukaryota; Metazoa; Chordata; Amphibia; Anura; Ranidae. The record is from RNAcentral.
GCCUAAAAUCUAGCCCGCACAAUCCGCAUGAUAUUCCUCAACACCUGUAAAAAAUAAAACAUUUCAACAUUUUAGUAUAGGCGAUAGAAAAUUUACUAGGCGCUUUAGACAAAGUACCGCAAGGGAAAUAUGAAAUAGAAAUGAAAUAACCCUACAGCCACAAACAGCAGAGUCACCCCCUCGUACCUUUCGCAUCAUGGUCUAGCUAGUCCCCACGAGCAAAAUGAAAGUUUUAGUUCGACACCCCGAAACUAGACGAGCUACUUCAAAACAGCCCCAAGGGGCCAACCCCUCUCUGUUGCAAAAGAGUGGGAAGAUUUUCAAGUAGAGGUGAUAAACCUACCGAGCCUAGAGAUAGCUGGUUGUUCAGGAAAAGAGUUUUAGCUCUGCCUUAAGUUUUCCUAUUCUACCAAACAAAUCCACAGACUUAAGAGUUAUUCAAAUUAGGCACAGCUUAUUUGAAACAGGAUACAACCUCCACCACUGGGUAAACAAGGGUAAUCAAAAUAAAGUGGGCCCAAAAGCAGCCAUCUUCCAAAAAGCGUCAAAGCUUACCUAUUCCAACCCAUAAUUUCUAAAAUACCCCACAACCCUUCACCCCUACUGAACCCUUUUAUACUAAUAUAAAAAUUAUUAUGCUAGAACUAGUAACAAGAAGUUGCCCUUCUCCACAAUGUAAACAUAAACCAAAACGGACUAUCCAUUGGUAGUUAACGUAAAUGAAGCCCCCAUAAUAACACAACUAGAGAACCUUAUGGCUCACCCCACGUUACCCUAACACCAGAACAUUACAGGAAAGAUUAAAAGAGAAAGAAGGAACUCGGCAAAUUUUAGCCCCGCCUGUUUACCAAAAACAUCGCCUCUUG